Brassica oleracea var. oleracea is the source of this 73-nucleotide non-coding RNA. Lineage: Eukaryota; Viridiplantae; Streptophyta; Magnoliopsida; Brassicales; Brassicaceae. The record is from the annotation of a RefSeq genome assembly.
GCGGGGAUAGCUCAGUUGGGAGAGCGUCAGACUAGCGGUCUGAAGGCCGCGUGUUCGAAUCACGCUCCUCGCA